AAGAAACCACUACCUGAGAGAUGUGUGAAGAUGAAUCCGACUCGUCAACUUUAACCUGCUUUUCUCACCCGAAACAAAGUUACACAUCAACAGUAAGUUAGUCAUUUCUGUUCUUGCUUUGUCAUCUUCACUUGUUAUAAAGACUCCAUGUAGAAGACGCUGCAUUUGCACAUACAAUGACAGGGGCUUUAAGAGAGCUGGCAAGAAGCCCUGUGCUUGUUGCAGCCAUUUUCAUAGCUGGAAUAGGAGGAACCUUUCAAUAUGGCUUCCAUAUCUCUGUCCUUAACUCUCCAUCAAUUUUUAUUAAAGAGCUGGUGAACAGCACCUGCCAGCAGCGUUAUGGCCGCUCUCUGGAGCCCUGGGAGAUGUCUCUCAUCUGGUCCUUCAUUGUGUCCAUAUAUUGCAUGGGAGGGCUGGCUGGAACCCUGUUUGCUGGACAUCUGGCAGGCGUGUAUGGAAGGAAGACAACUCUGCUUUUGAACAAUGUGGUGGCAAUCUGUGGAGCUGUCCUGAUGUUGUUGAGUAAAACCGCCCUCUCGUUUGAGAUGAUCAUGGUGGCACGUGUCCUAUACGGCAUCAACGCUGGUGUGAGUUUGACUGUCCACACCAUGUAUAUAUUGGAGUGCGCCCCCAAGAGGCUGCGUGGGAUGGUUGGUGUGUCUGUGGCCUCUUUUGUCUCAAUCGGGAAGCUUUUUGGCCAGCUGCUCGGGAUCAGUGAGGUGUUAGGCACUGAGGAGCGCUGGAUCUGGCUGCUGGCAUUCAGCGGGGCGGCUGGUCUCCUGCAGCUAGUAACUCUGCCCUUUCUCCCAGAGUCCCCGCGGUACCUCCUGCUGGAGAAGGCAGACAAACACGGCUGUGAGACGGCUCUGCGCAGGUUGUGGGGAGCUAAAAAGGACCCUGGACCAGAGAUGGAGGAGAUGUUGGCUGAACAUGCUUCCCUAAAGGGCGUGAAGGUCCACAGGCUCAUGGACCUCUUCCUCGACCACAACGUCCGCUGGCAGCUCCUCACCAUCCUCGUCACGUUCGUCACGCUGCAGCUCUGCGGCAUCAAUGCUAUCUAUCUAUAUUCGUUUGAUGUGUUUCAAGCUGCUGGUAUCGCCGAGGAGAACCUGCGCUAUGCCGCCCUGGGGACGGGUCUGUGUGAAGUCUCCACCUCUAUUGCCUGUGUGCUGAUCAUCGAGAGCACCGGGAAGAGAUUGCUUCUCUUUAGGGGUUACCUGUGCAUGGCCGGCUCACUGGCCCUGCUCACACUUACACUUUACCUUCAGGACUUUGUAUCCUGGAUGCCAUACUGCAGCAUGGUCCUUAUUUUCAUCUACAUCAUCUUCUUCUCUAGCGGGCCAGCCGGGGUGACAGCACCACUUCCUGGUGAGAUUUUCACACAGUCCUAUAAACCUCCAGCGUUCAUGGUAGCCUGCAUCCUUAAUUGGACAGGACUCUUCCUGGUGGGCAUGUUGUUUCCGCUCAUAGUGGCAGACUUCUUUGAUUUGCCAUGGAAGGAUGACACAAUGUCACAACCGCUGAAGGCAUGGAAGAAGAGGAUACCACGUGUUUUCUCUGGUCCUAUGGCUGAAACCACCUCAUGUAUAUGGAUCCAUCUUGUCUUCUCUCCUUUGCCAAACGUCACCCACAUUUUCUCCAGGCCAAGUUGCAUCAAAGACGGCAUAACAGAAGUGGCUAUGAUUAAAAUGUCUGUGUCAUUGGCAUCAAUCAUCAGGGAUUUGUGUCCUUGUUCCACUGCAUGCUGGGCAUGAAGGAAAAUACGCGUGUUUGCCUCUUCAUGACUACACGGGGCUACUGCAUCCAGGAAGCUUUGCCAGUUUGACGGAGUUUUGCCUGUGCCUGUUACUCUCCUUCUGAUUGCUUUUCCCCGUUUUGACCUUGCCUCAGACUUCAGACUGGACUUCCAGUAAACAUCGAACACAAUGUCCGUCCGCCUGAGCAUUUGGAUUAUUUCUGCUUCCUCGUAUUUUUUGUGUUCUGCUUCUUCUCUGGUGUUUUCGUGUGGUUCCACGUGCCUGAGACAAAGAAUAAAACUGUUCUGGAGAUCGCAGAGGACUUUAAGAGAAUGCAC
Onychostoma macrolepis is the source of this 2074-nucleotide RNA transcript. It is a transcript of the gene named solute carrier family 2 member 11, like, with no coding region annotated. The transcript has 14 exons. Lineage: Eukaryota; Metazoa; Chordata; Actinopteri; Cypriniformes; Cyprinidae. The record is from RefSeq and is a predicted model, not a curated record.